RNAcentral lists this long non-coding RNA (503 nucleotides) under Chrysemys picta bellii (western painted turtle). Its description in RNAcentral is "lncRNA (ENSCPBG00000022592.1)". The record is from RNAcentral. Lineage: Eukaryota; Metazoa; Chordata; Testudines; Emydidae.
AAACUGCUAAAUCUUUUUACAGUGUUUUACCCUUCCUGCUUGUGUAACAAGAAAUCUUUGUGACACUCUGCAGCAAUCUGGUGUCUGGGGAAUGCAAAGAAAGACUUCGAAAUCUUCCAGAAAAAAGACCUCUUACUGCAAGAUCCAGGGCUGCAGACUUGGAUUGAAAUAUAAUUUUAAAAGGGAUGUCUCUCUCCAGAGACAAAGAGGAAGAAUUUUAUGCAGAAUGGCUUCCCUCCUGCCCAGAUACCAUACAAGAAGAUUCAGAGAAGAUUUCAUUAUAUCUCACCAUGGACUAACUUACAGAACUCUUAACUCCCCUGUAUAUAAUUUUGGAGAAUCCACAGGACCCAUAUGGACUGAAACACUGGACCCUUUUGGUUUAGUUUUGUUUAAAACCCAGAGAGGUAAAAAUGUAACAUCCUUUGUGUUAAUGUAUCACAUUGCUGCUGACUGAAUAUGCAUGGAGUAACCAAUAAAUGACCUAUUUUAAAAAAUAAUCA